CUACGGGCGGCUGCAGGCGCGAAACCUUUACAAUGUACGUAAGUGCGAUAAGGGAACUCCCAGUGCUCAUGUAAUGCAUGGGCUUUUGUUAAGUGUAAAUAGCUUAACGAAUAAGUGGUGGGUAAGACGGGUGCCAGCCGCCGCGGUAACACCUGCGCCACGAGUGGCAUUCACGUUUACUGGGCCUAAAGCGUUCGUAGCCGGAUAAGCAAGUCUUAAGUGAAAUCGUUGCGCUUAACAAAACGACGCGCUUGAGAUACUACUUGUCUUGGAACCGGGAGGAGUUAGGGGUAUUCCAGAGGGAGCGGUAAAAUGCUGUAAUCUCUGGAGGACCACCUGUGGCGAAGGCGCCUAACUAGAACGGGUUCGACGGUGAGGAACGAAAGCCAGGGGAGCAAAACGGAUUAGAUACCCUCGUAGUC
This 422-nucleotide ribosomal RNA is filed under the name uncultured archaeon. Its description in RNAcentral is "partial 16S ribosomal RNA". It matches the Rfam family "Archaeal small subunit ribosomal RNA", at positions 323 to 746 of the family's 1478-position model. The record is from RNAcentral.